AGAGUUUGAUCCUGGCUCAGGACGAACGCUGGCGGCGUGCUUAACACAUGCAAGUCGAACGGUCGUAGCAAUACGGCAGUGGCGGACGGGUGAGUAACACGUGAGCAAUCUGCCUCAUACAGGGGGAUAACACUGAGAAAUCAGUGCUAAUACCGCAUAAGACCACAGGUCCGCAUGGACUAGGGGUAAAAGGUUAAUUCUGGUAUGAGAUGAGCUCGCGUCCCAUUAGGUAGUUGGUGAGGUAACGGCCCACCAAGCCUGCGAUGGGUAGCCGACCUGAGAGGGUGAACGGCCACACUGGAACUGAGAUACGGUCCAGACUCCUACGGGAGGCAGCAGUGGGGAAUAUUGGGCAAUGGAGGCAACUCUGACCCAGCAACGCCGCGUGAGUGAAGAAGGUCUUCGGAUUGUAAAGCUCUGUGGAUAGGGAUGAAAAAAAUGACAGUACCUAUAAAGCAAGCCACGGCAAACUACGUGCCAGCAGCCGCGGUAAUACGUAGGUGGCAAGCGUUGUCCGGAAUGACUGGGUGUAAAGGGUGCGUAGGCGGCUUAUUAAGUUAGAAGUGUAAUACCUGGGCUCAACUUAGGUGCUACUUCUAAGACUGAUGAGCUUGAGUGUGGGAGAGGUAAGUGGAAUUCCUAGUGUAGCGGUGGAAUGCGUAGAUAUUAGGAGGAACACCAGUGGCGAAGGCGACUUACUGGACCAUAACUGACGCUGAUGCACGAAAGCGUGGGUAGCAAACAGGAUUAGAUACCUUGGUAGUCCACGCCCUAAACGAUGGAUACUAGGUAUAGGGGGUAUCGACCCCCCCUGUGCCGUCGCAAACGCAAUAAGUAUCCCACCUGGGGAGUACGGCCGCAAGGUUGAAACUCAAAUGAAUUGACGG
Molecule: ribosomal RNA, 887 nt
Filed under: uncultured bacterium
Lineage: Bacteria
Description: bacterial SSU rRNA
Rfam family: Bacterial small subunit ribosomal RNA
Source: RNAcentral